Molecule: ribosomal RNA, 491 nt
Filed under: uncultured bacterium
Lineage: Bacteria
Description: partial 16S ribosomal RNA
Rfam family: Bacterial small subunit ribosomal RNA
Source: RNAcentral
AGUGAACGCUGGCGGUAGGCCUAACACAUGCAAGUCGAACGGCAGCACAGUAAGAGCUUGCUCUUACGGGUGGCGAGUGGCGGACGGGUGAGGAAUACAUCGGAAUCUACUUUUUCGUGGGGGAUAACGUAGGGAAACUUACGCAAUACCGCAUACGACCUGCGGGUGAAAGCAGGGGAUCUUCGGACCUUGCGCGAUUGAAUGAGCCGAUGUCGGAUUAGCUAGUUGGCGGGGUAAAGGCCCACCAAGGCGACGAUCCGUAGCUGGUCUGAGAGGAUGAUCAGCCACAAUGGAACUGAGACACGGACCAGACUCCUACGGGAGGCAGCAGUGGGGAAUAUUGGACAAUGGGCGCAAUCCUGAUCCAGCCAUACCGCGUGGGUGAAGAAGGCCUUCGGGUUGUAAAGCCCUUUUGUUGGGAAAGAAAAGCAGCAGGUUAAUACCCCGCUGUUCUGACGGUACCCAAAGAAUAAGCACCGGCUAACUUCGUG